Molecule: ribosomal RNA, 424 nt
Filed under: Verrucomicrobiota bacterium
Lineage: Bacteria; Pseudomonadati; Verrucomicrobiota
Description: Verrucomicrobia bacterium partial 16S ribosomal RNA
Rfam family: Bacterial small subunit ribosomal RNA
Source: RNAcentral
UGAGGAAUAUUGGUCAAUGGACGCAAGUCUGAACCAGCCAAGUAGCGUGCAGGAUGACGGCCCUAUGGGUUGUAAACUGCUUUUAUAUGGGGAUAAAGUGGGGAACGUGUUCCCUUUUGCAGGUACCAUAUGAAUAAGGACCGGCUAAUUCCGUGCCAGCAGCCGCGGUAAUACGGAAGGUUCGGGCGUUAUCCGGAUUUAUUGGGUUUAAAGGGAGCGUAGGCCGUUUGGUAAGCGUGUUGUGAAAUGUAGGAGCUCAACUUCUAGAUUGCAGCGCGAACUGUCAGACUUGAGUGCGCACAACGUAGGCGGAAUUCAUGGUGUAGCGGUGAAAUGCUUAGAUAUUGGGAGGAACACCAGUAGCGAAGGCGGCUUUCUGGACUGCAACUGACACUGAGGCACGAAAGCGUGGGUAGCAAACAGG